AGCAGCCGCGGUAAUUCCAGCUCCAAUAGCGUAUAUUAAAGUUGCUGCAGUUAAAAAGCUCGUAGUUGAAUUUCGGGACCGAUAUAUCGGUCGUGCCUCGGUACGUACUGGUAUUUUCGGUUUCUCCCUUCUGACGAACCUUGAUGUCAUUAAUUUGGUGUCUUGGGGAAUCAGGACUGUUACUUUGAAAAAUUAGAGUGUUUAAAGCAGGCUCACGCUUGAAUACAUUAGCAUGGAAUAAUGAAAUAGGACGCUUGAUUCUAUUUUGUUGGUUUCUAGGAUCGACGUAAUGAUUAAUAGGGAUAGUUGGGGGCAUUAGUAUUCAAUUGUCAGAGGUGAAAUUCUUGGAUUUAUUGAAGACUAACUACUGCGAAAGCAUUUGCCAAGGAUGUUUUCAUUAAUCAAGAACGAAAGUUAGGGGAUCGGAGACGAUCAGAUACCGUCGUAGUCUUAACCAUAAACUAUGCCGACUAGGGAUCGUAUGAUGUUAAUUUUUAAUGACUCAUUCGGCGCCUUACGG
This 520-nucleotide ribosomal RNA is filed under the name uncultured Glomus. Its description in RNAcentral is "SSU rRNA". It matches the Rfam family "Eukaryotic small subunit ribosomal RNA", at positions 569 to 1093 of the family's 1831-position model. Lineage: Eukaryota; Fungi; Glomeromycota; Glomeromycetes; Glomerales; Glomeraceae. The record is from RNAcentral.